Long non-coding RNA from Acipenser ruthenus (sterlet), 772 nucleotides. RefSeq lists it as uncharacterized. The record is from RefSeq and is a predicted model, not a curated record. NCBI's taxonomy places the organism in Eukaryota, Metazoa, Chordata, Actinopteri, Acipenseriformes, Acipenseridae. The transcript has 3 exons.
CCUAUCAAAUGUCCCGCGUCCCGAUGCAUAGCAAGAAUGUCCCGAUAUUUACACAUAGAAAAAAAGUCAUUUAUUCUGUACAGUAGAGUUAGUGAAAACCACACGCUGUGCUCUUCGUGCGGCUGACACAUCUGCUGAUCAUUAACUUACCGGUAUACAAAGCUGGGGGGCUUGUGGGCCAGCAUUGAAGGCAGCCAAUCUCCAUCCAGUGCUUCAGAGAUGAAAGCCUUUAUAAACCUGGCAGAAAACAAUGUAAGGGAGAAAGAGAACGGGAAAGUAACCAGGAGGAGGAAGCAGCACGGAGACGCAGUAUUGUUUUGUCAGGUUUCUUUCAGCUAAGUAUAAUUUUAUCAUUUGGAAUUGAAUUUGCUGAGAAACCGUGACUUUGAAGAAUGCGUUUGCUUGGUGCAAUACAGAAUAACAUAUUUGUAUUCUGUGAUGGCAAAUUUUCUGUGCAAUAUUACUGUGUGCAGUAUAUUGAUUUUGGCAAUUAUUUACUUGGAGUUGGAUUCUGGCCAAAUCCACUCGAUUUGCUUUAGUGCAACGUUUCCCAAAGUGGGGGUCGCGACCCGGUUCUGAUGGGUCGCUAAACAAUCUAAAAAUAUGACAUUCAGAGCACACUGUUAAGAUUUUGUUUCAUUAUACAACUUCUCAUGCUUAUAUUCAAAAUAAAUAUAAUUUUCAUACAAAUCAUUAGCAGUAAUUAUGUAAACAAUGUACUGUUUUAUCACCAGUCUUCUGCUUUAAAUAUGAACCGAAAAAUAAAGUAUAA